AAGGAGUCUAACAUAUCUGCGAGUAUUUGGGUGCCAAACCCGAGUGCGCAAUGAAAGUGAACGUAGGAGCCACGCGCAAGCUGCAGCUUCGACCGAUCUGGAUCUUAGUGAUGGAUUUGAGUAAGAGCAUAUAUGUAGGGACCCGGAAGAUGGUGAACUAUGCCUGAAUAGGGCGAAGCCAGAGGAAACUCUGGUGGAGGCUCGUAGCGAUUCUGACGUGCAAAUCGAUCGUCAAAUUUGGGUAUAGGGGCGGGAAACUGAUCGAACCAACUAGUAGCUGGUUCCUGC
Molecule: unclassified non-coding RNA, 288 nt
Filed under: uncultured fungus
Lineage: Eukaryota; Fungi
Description: partial contains 5.8S rRNA, ITS2 and 28S rRNA
Rfam family: Eukaryotic large subunit ribosomal RNA
Source: RNAcentral